UAGAGGGAGAGACGUAGAGAGAGAGACAGAUAGACAGAGAGAGAGAGAGAGAGAGGGAGAGAGAGAGAGAGAGACAGAGAGGUAGAAACAGAGACAGAGAGACAUGAGAGAGAGAGAGAGAGAGAGAGAGAGAGAGAGAGAGAGAGAGAGAGUGAAAUACCAGUGUGCCAUCACAGCAGCAAGAUUUGUGACCUGUUGUCACAAGAAAAGGGCAACCAGUGAACAACACACACCAUUACUCAGACGGGAUGACAGAAUCAUGGAAAGAGACGGUUUCGGGUUCCUGGGUGGCAGAGUUCUUCGGCGGUUGGCGAAGAGGUGGUCGAUGGAGAUACGGAACAAUUGAUUUAAAUCCUGAAUGUCAUCUCUACAGGCCAGCUCCACCUGAAGUUCCCUGUUGAGCCCUCUUCGGUAGACAGACCUGAGCCCUAGGACCAUGCCCCAGGACUACCUGACAUGAUGACUCCUUAAUGUCCCCAGUCCACCUGGCCGUGCUGCUGCUCCAGUUUCAACUGUUCUGCAUUAUUAUUAUUCAACCAUGCUCGUCAUUUAUGAACAUUUGAACAUCUUGGCCAUGUUCUGUUAUAAUCUCCACCCGGCACAGCCAGAAGAGGACUGGCCACCCCACUUAGCCUGGUUCCUCUCUAGGUUUAUUCCUAGGUUUUGGCCUUUCUAGGGAGUUUUUCUUAGCCAUCGUGCUUCUACACCUGCAUUGCUUGCUGUUUGGGGUUUUAGGCUGGGUUUCUGUACAGCACUUUGAGAUAUCAGCUGAUGUACGAAGGGCUAUAUAAAUAAAUUUGAUUUUUUUUUAAAUAAA
Oncorhynchus masou masou (cherry salmon) is the source of this 817-nucleotide long non-coding RNA. RefSeq lists it as uncharacterized. NCBI's taxonomy places the organism in Eukaryota, Metazoa, Chordata, Actinopteri, Salmoniformes, Salmonidae. The record is from RefSeq and is a predicted model, not a curated record. The transcript is spliced from 3 exons.